Molecule: ribosomal RNA, 674 nt
Filed under: uncultured bacterium
Lineage: Bacteria
Description: bacterial SSU rRNA
Rfam family: Bacterial small subunit ribosomal RNA
Source: RNAcentral
AAAUGUUUCAGGGUAUCGGAUGGGCAUGCGUCCUAUUAGUUAGUUGGCGGGGUAACAGCCCACCAAGACGAUGAUAGGUAGGGGUUCUGAGAGGAAGGUCCCCCACAUUGGAACUGAGACACGGUCCAAACUCCUACGGGAGGCAGCAGUGAGGAAUAUUGGUCAAUGGACGAGAGUCUGAACCAGCCAAGUCGCGUGAGGGAAGACUGCCCUAUGGGUUGUAAACCUCUUUUAUAAGGGAAGAAUAAGUUCUACGUGUAGAAUGAUGCCUGUACCUUAUGAAUAAGCAUCGGCUAACUCCGUGCCAGCAGCCGCGGUAAUACGGAGGAUGCGAGCGUUAUCCGGAUUUAUUGGGUUUAAAGGGUGCGUAGGCGGUUUAUUAAGUUAGUGGUUAAAUAUUUGAGCUAAACUCAAUUGUGCCAUUAAUACUGGUAAACUGGAGUACAGACGAGGUAGGCGGAAUAAGUUAAGUAGCGGUGAAAUGCAUAGAUAUAACUUAGAACUCCGAUAGCGAAGGCAGCUUACCAGACUGUAACUGACGCUGCAUGCACGAGAGCGUGGGUAGCGAACAGGAUUAGAUACCCUGGUAGUCCACGCCGUAAACGAUGCUCACUGGUUCUGUGCGACAUAUUGUACGGGAUUAAGCGAAAGUAUUAAGUGAGCCACCUGGGGAG